This 1188-nucleotide ribosomal RNA is filed under the name Staphylococcus carnosus. RNAcentral's name for it is "bacterial SSU rRNA". It matches the Rfam family "Bacterial small subunit ribosomal RNA", at positions 282 to 1462 of the family's 1533-position model. The record is from RNAcentral. Lineage: Bacteria; Bacillati; Bacillota; Bacilli; Caryophanales; Staphylococcaceae.
CGUAGCCGACCUGAGAGGUGAUCGGCCACACGGAACUGAGACACGGUCCAGACUCCUACGGGAGGCAGCAGUAGGGAAUCUUCCGCAAUGGGCGAAAGCCUGACGGAGCAACGCCGCGUGAGUGAUGAAGGUCUUCGGAUCGUAAAACUCUGUUAUUAGGGAAGAACAAGUGCGUAGGUAACUAUGCGCACCUUGACGGUACCUAAUCAGAAAGCCACGGCUAACUACGUGCCAGCAGCCGCGGUAAUACGUAGGUGGCAAGCGUUAUCCGGAAUUAUUGGGCGUAAAGCGCGCGUAGGCGGUUUUUUAAGUCUGAUGUGAAAGCCCACGGCUCAACCGUGGAGGGUCAUUGGAAACUGGAAAACUUGAGUGCAGAAGAGGAAAGUGGAAUUCCAUGUGUAGCGGUGAAAUGCGCAGAGAUAUGGAGGAACACCAGUGGCGAAGGCGACUUUCUGGUCUGCAACUGACGCUGAUGUGCGAAAGCGUGGGGAUCAAACAGGAUUAGAUACCCUGGUAGUCCACGCCGUAAACGAUGAGUGCUAAGUGUUAGGGGGUUUCCGCCCCUUAGUGCUGCAGCUAACGCAUUAAGCACUCCGCCUGGGGAGUACGGCCGCAAGGCUGAAACUCAAAGGAAUUGACGGGGACCCGCACAAGCGGUGGAGCAUGUGGUUUAAUUCGAAGCAACGCGAAGAACCUUACCAAAUCUUGACAUCCUUUGACCGCUCUAGAGAUAGAGUCUUCCCCUUCGGGGGACAAAGUGACAGGUGGUGCAUGGUUGUCGUCAGCUCGUGUCGUGAGAUGUUGGGUUAAGUCCCGCAACGAGCGCAACCCUUAAGCUUAGUUGCCAGCAUUAAGUUGGGCACUCUAAGUUGACUGCCGGUGACAAACCGGAGGAAGGUGGGGAUGACGUCAAAUCAUCAUGCCCCUUAUGAUUUGGGCUACACACGUGCUACAAUGGACAGUACAAAGGGCAGCGAAACCGCGAGGUCAAGCAAAUCCCAUAAAGCUGUUCUCAGUUCGGAUUGUAGUCUGCAACUCGACUACAUGAAGCUGGAAUCGCUAGUAAUCGUAGAUCAGCAUGCUACGGUGAAUACGUUCCCGGGUCUUGUACACACCGCCCGUCACACCACGAGAGUUCGUAACACCCGAAGCCGGUGGAGUAACCUUUUAGGAGCUAGCCGUCGAAGG